ACGAACGCUGGCGGCGUGCUUAACACAUGCCAGUCGCACGGAAAGGCCCUGCUUUUGUGGGGUGCUCGAGUGGCGAACGGGUGAGUAACACGUGAGUAACCUGCCCUUGACUUUGGGAUAACUUCAUGAAACUGGGGCUAAUACCGGAUAGGAGCUCCUGCUGCAUGGUGGGGGUUGGAAAGUUUCGGCGGUUGGGGAUGGACUCGCGGCUUAUCAGCUUGUUGGUGGGGUAGUGGCUUACCAAGGCUUUGACGGGUAGCCGGCCUGAGAGGGUGACCGGCCACAUUGGGACUGAGAUACGGCCCAGACUCCUACGGGAGGCAGCAGUGGGGAAUAUUGCACAAUGGGCGGAAGCCUGAUGCAGCAACGCCGCGUGCGGGAUGACGGCCUUCGGGUUGUAAACCGCUUUCGCCUGUGACGAAGCGUGAGUGACGGUAAUGGGUAAAGAAGCACCGGCUAACUACGUG
This 467-nucleotide ribosomal RNA is filed under the name uncultured bacterium. Its description in RNAcentral is "partial 16S ribosomal RNA". It matches the Rfam family "Bacterial small subunit ribosomal RNA", at positions 29 to 507 of the family's 1533-position model. The record is from RNAcentral.